AUUGAACGCUGGCGGAAUGCUUUACACAUGCAAGUCGAACGGCAGCACGGGGCAACCUGGUGGCGAGUGGCGAACGGGUGAGUAAUACAUCGGAACGUGCCCAAUCGUGGGGGAUAACGUAGCGAAAGUUACGCUAAUACCGCAUACGAUCUACGGAUGAAAGCGGGGGAUCGCAAGACCUCGCGCGAAUGGAGCGGCCGAUGUCAGAUUAGGUAGUUGGUGGGGUAAAGGCUCACCAAGCCAACGAUCUGUAGCUGGUCUGAGAGGACGACCAGCCACACUGGAACUGAGACACGGUCCAGACUCCUACGGGAGGCAGCAGUGGGGAAUUUUGGACAAUGGCGCAAGCCUGAUCCAGCCAUUCCGCGUGCGAGGA
Molecule: ribosomal RNA, 376 nt
Filed under: uncultured bacterium
Lineage: Bacteria
Description: bacterial SSU rRNA
Rfam family: Bacterial small subunit ribosomal RNA
Source: RNAcentral